UACGUAGGGUGCGAGCGUUACUCGGAAUUACUGGGCGUAAAGCGUGCGCAGGCGGUUCGUUAUGUCCGUUGUGAAAGCCCCGGGCUCAACCUGGGAAUGGCAAUGGAAACUGGCGGGCUAGAGUGUGGCAGAGGGGGGUGGAAUUCCGCGUGUAGCAGUGAAAUGCGUAGAGAUGCGGAGGAACACCGGUGGCGAAGGCGGCGAGCUGGCCUGUUACUGACGCUGAGGCGCGACAGCGUGGGGAGCAAACAGG
This 253-nucleotide ribosomal RNA is filed under the name uncultured bacterium. Its description in RNAcentral is "partial 16S ribosomal RNA". It matches the Rfam family "Bacterial small subunit ribosomal RNA", at positions 524 to 776 of the family's 1533-position model. The record is from RNAcentral.